UUGUUGCGUCGGCUGUGAAAACCUGAGGCUCAACCUCAGGCCUGCAGUCGAUACGAGCAGACUAGAGUGUUGCAGGGGAGACUGGAAUUCCUGGUGUAGCGGUGAAAUGCGCAGAUAUCAGGAGGAACACCGGUGGCGAAGGCGGGUCUCUGGGCAACAACUGACGCUGAGGAGCGAAAGCGUGGGGAGCGAACAGGAUUAGAUACCCUGGUAGUCCACGCCGUAAACGUUGGGCGCUAGGUGUGGGGCUCAUUCCACGAGUUCCGUGCCGCAGCUAACGCAUUAAGCGCCCCGCCUGGGGAGUACGGCCGCAAGGCUAAAACUCAAAGGAAUUGACGGGGGCCCGCACAAGCGGCGGAGCAUGUUGCUCAAUUCGAUGCAACGCGAAGAACCUUACCUAGGCUUGACAUGCACGGAAAUCCUCCAGAGAUGGUGGGUCCGUAAGGGCCGUGCACAGGUGGUGCAUGGUUGUCGUCAGCUCGUGUCGUGAGAUGUUGGGUUAAGUCCCGCAACGAGCGCAACCCUCGUUCUAUGUUGCCAGCACGUGAUGGUGGGGACUCAUAGGAGACUGCCGGGGUCAACUCGGAGGAAGGUGGGGAUGACGUCAAAUCAUCAUGCCCCUUAUGUCUAGGGCUGCAGACAUGCUACAAUGGCCGGUACAAAGGGCUGCGAUACCGCGAGGUGGAGCGAAUCCCAAAAAGCCGGUCUCAGUUCGGAUUGGGGUCUGCAACUCGACCCCAUGAAGUUGGAGUCGCUAGUAA
Molecule: ribosomal RNA, 761 nt
Filed under: uncultured bacterium
Lineage: Bacteria
Description: bacterial SSU rRNA
Rfam family: Bacterial small subunit ribosomal RNA
Source: RNAcentral